This is a non-coding RNA of Pelobates cultripes (western spadefoot toad), 367 nucleotides long. The record is from the annotation of a GenBank genome assembly. NCBI's taxonomy places the organism in Eukaryota, Metazoa, Chordata, Amphibia, Anura, Pelobatidae.
AUUCAACCCAAAAAGUUGGUGUGCAAAACAAUCCUAUGCAAAUAUUCACCUAUCCCUCAAUACUCUCCUUUCCAUUCAAUCCUUCCUUGAAAUCUUGCGAGAUCACCGAUCUGCAUUAACUGAUUGCAUGGAGCAUGCGCGGGAAUCAGAUUCUGUUGCAUACUCUGGGCAGAAGAAGGCGGCGGUGACGUAACAUUCUCUAUUAAGAGAUGCUGACUGGUGCAGAGCGGUGAUUUGCUGUACGUGAAAGAUGGCCUCUUAUGUGAUUAUUAAGCACUGGAGUGGCUGAGAUCAUCAAGUUUUGAUUAUCUCAGCCAGGGAGGCAAGGCAGCCUCAUGGAGGCUGGUGGCUACGGCUAAGAGGCGAG